Non-coding RNA from Acanthosepion pharaonis, 102 nucleotides. The record is from the annotation of a GenBank genome assembly. NCBI's taxonomy places the organism in Eukaryota, Metazoa, Mollusca, Cephalopoda, Sepiida, Sepiidae.
AUCUGGAAACUCCAGUUCCUAUGUGAUCACAGAAGUUAAGCAACAUCAAGCCUGGUCAGUACCUAGAUGGGUGACCACUUGGAAAUUCCAGGUGUUGUAAGC